UUCAGUCACGAGGCGAAUGCCCCCCUCAGUGCGCAUGCUGCACAGACCUGUUGCUGCGCAUGUCUGUUGGUAGGCGUGUCUGUUGUUGCGCAUGCGCCUUGCUGCCCACCACCUGUCCACGCAGAGCUCUGCAAGGAGAGGUCGUGUCUUCAUUCUUUCCGCCAUCUUGAUUCUUUCUCACUGAUUGAGACGCAGCCGUGGGAAAUAUGAGUGAGCGUGUAAGAACAAGAUCCCAAUCCUCAGAAAGAGGAAAUGAACAAGAGUCUUGGCCGGUUGAAUCUGUGAUUGUCCAGCAGCCCACUGAGGAAAAACGUCAAGAAGAGGAAGCACCAACUGAAAAUCAGGGUAUUGCACCUAGUGGGGAGAUCGAAAAUGAAGGAGCA
Non-coding RNA from Chlorocebus sabaeus (green monkey), 383 nucleotides. NCBI's taxonomy places the organism in Eukaryota, Metazoa, Chordata, Mammalia, Primates, Cercopithecidae. The record is from RefSeq and is a predicted model, not a curated record.